RNAcentral lists this ribosomal RNA (406 nucleotides) under uncultured bacterium. RNAcentral's name for it is "partial 16S ribosomal RNA". It matches the Rfam family "Bacterial small subunit ribosomal RNA", at positions 30 to 526 of the family's 1533-position model. The record is from RNAcentral.
AUUGAACGCUGGCGGCAGGCCUAACACAUGCAAGUCGAACGAGUGGCGGACGGGUGAGUAAUGUCUGGGAAACUGCCUGAUGGAGGGGGAUAACUACUGGAAACGGUAGCUAAUACCGCAUACCAUCAGAUGUGCCCAGAUUGGAUUAGCUUGUUGGUGGGGUAACGGCUCACCAAGGCGACGACCCCUAGCUGGUCUGAGAGGAUGACCAGCCACACUGGAACUGAGACACGGUCCAGACUCCGACGGUGGGCAGCAUUGGGGAAUAUUGCACAAUGGGCGCAAGCCUGAUGCAGCCAUGCCGCGAGGAUGAAGAAGGCCUUCGGGUUGUAAAGUACUUUCAGCGGGGAGGCAUUACCCGCAGAAGAAGCACCGGCUAACUCCAAGCCAGCAGCCGCGGUAAUUC